CAAACAAGAACUAACAAAAAUUGCUCAUCUACCAGUACGAUGAUGAUUAUGUGGAUAUUUCAAUCCUAUUUGAUGGAAAAACCAAACGAAAGGGUUAGAUUAUAACGGAGAGCAACAGAUACGGACCCAAUUGUAAUAACUGAAAGGUUCAGGAUCAGACUGAGCUAAGCAAAAAGUUGAGGACCCCUGAUGUAAUUUAUCCUUUAAAAACAUACCAAGUCAAGUAUAUUCUCUCGUAUAAGGAAAGAGGAAAUCAAAACGUAUCCAACAGCUCCCAUUGCUCGGACCUGCAUGAUAAGAUUAGAAACACUCAACACUAGAGAAAUUCCAUUGUUAAGCAUGUUCAAUAAAUCGAAUAAAUAGGUAAGAGCAUUACAAUCGAGCAAAGGAAGAUGGAUGUUACCCAAUUUGCCCCAAGCCUGGAAAGAGCGAAUAUCGAGCCGAACACGAGCCAGCUCGCUCAUUUGCCAGCCCUAUAAUUGUGGAGAGUGACGAGAAGAUAAUAAUUUAAUAAAUUUUAAAAGAAAAUUUUGAUUGCAGUGUAGAAUUCAAUGAGAAAGUCAUAUCAUUGUAUUUAAAUAAGAAAAAAGUUUACAGCAUUCCAAACAACAAUAAUUCAAGAAGUACAAGAUAAUAAGGGGCUUGUUUUGUUACACUGUUCGUAAUAUUCUAGUAAUCUUUCGUAUUUUUUUACUGAAAUAUUUAAAUUAUUAUCAUUCAAUUUAAAUUGGAUAGUUGUAAAAAAUAUCAGUAAAAUAGUAAUUAUAAAUACUCAACUAGUAAGAGUAUUUGAUUACCACAGAUUAUGAUGUAUUCUUAUUCUUAUAUUUAAUGAGAAUCAUUAGUUGUUCAUUAAUAAUAAAAAUACAUAAACCGACCGUCCCUAAAGCAAGUGGCAAAAGGCUUGAUGGUUGGUACCCAAGACCCAAGUUCGAAUCCUAGCUGAUUCACAUUUCCAGCUAAGUUUAUUUCAAAAUGAAAUAAACGAAGCGGAUAGCAUACUACCUAUCUCUCUCAAAAAAAAGAAAAAAAAAAAAAAUCUUAACAACCUUCCAAUAUAAGCAGCUUGGUAAGUGAGGAGCAGACUUGCUAUUCUUAAUAUAAAAUAUACUAUUUUCCCGAAAUAUUUCAAACCUUCAACCAAACGGCCCUAACUACCUGUACAUAAAAACACUACAACAUUAAACAUAACAGCAGCUUACAGCUAUCUCAAAUAAAACUUGAAGAACAGUAUUAGAUUUAGACCAAAGUAGUGGUUCAUUUCAUUUGUUUGAAAUAUUUUGAAAAUAUCAUAUAUUUUACAUUUGAAAUGACUAAUUUGUUAAUAAUAACAUGCCACUGGGGUUCGAAUAUUAUUUCAGACUUGUAUAUUCUUAUUAACCGACUAUUCAUAAUCUUCAUCAAGUCCGAAAAUAACAAAACUUCCAACCCCGAAUAUUAUAAUCAAGAAUUUAAGUGUCCAUCGGCACGGAUCGUUUCUUUUCUACUGUAUCGUGCUAACAAAUUAUCAACACGAUACAGUAAAAUACAUAAUAAACAGUUAGAAUAUUUUGUUUCUAAAAAAAAUAAAUAAAUAUUUUAUAUUAUUAUGUGUCUGCACACAUAAAUUUUUUAUGACUAACACGCAUUCACAUAGCCCGGCACGCACCGGAAAGUCUCCGAUAGGAUCCUGUGCCACGACGCUUAAAUUCUUGAUUACAAUAAACCUACUUGCAGGAAAUAAAAAAUAUAAAAGAUUACUGAAAUAUUAUAAACCACGGACGGGUCUUAAAAGUUUACUAUAAUGUGGGUUUUUUAAUUAAUGCACCUAGUUAAGUUGCAAUAUAACAAAUAAAAUCAAAACCAGAAAAGCAUAAAAAGAAAAAAAAACAAAAGACAAGAUACCCUUCUUGAUAAGAACUAUAUCUAAAUUAAUAGUUCUAUUAUCAGACAAUUUAUUUAAAUUGAAAGAUUCUUUUCUAUCAAAGUAUAACUGACGCCAUCAGCAAGUCAUUUUUCGUAAACUUUUUGCAUCUAUAUUCAACAAUUAUGUCCAAAAUUUUGUGCCCAUUUAAAAACAAGAGCAAGAUGCAGCAACCAUAGAAAAAUGUCAGGGUUUAACGAGAUAAAGGGUGAGAGUGCAAGGUUGGUUUUGCACUUUAGCCUUGUGUUUUUCUAUUUCUUCAUAAAGAUUUCAAUUACAAUGAACAAUUACAACCCGGAAAUUAAUGUGCCAACACUAAUUUUAUACAGAAUAGUAACAGUGGAAUUAAAAAAAAAAGAAGAACAAGCUUUGAAGAUUGAUUCCAAGGUUUCCUAUAUUUUGUAUGGGUGGCAAUAAAUUUCGCAAAAAUGCCCUCAAAUUGCUUUAUCCAGCCAUUUUGGAAGUUUCAAAGAAGCCCUCAAUCCAAGUUUUGUAAGGAUCACAGCAUACAAUAUAUGCAGCAAAAAAACAAAGAAUCCACAGUUGAGUAGAAGCUGUUCAGCAACAAAAACAGAUGAAUUAACAGCAUCCGAGCGCAAUAUCAUACACGAAUUCAGCGAAAGAACUGCGAGAUUUGAAAUGAUGUAAAAGUUACCAGAGUUCCAAAUAAGAGAUAGAUGGCGUCCAUCGUUGGAACGACAUUGACUCCUAUGGCCGUCAGUAUGUAGGUGAGCGAAGCGUGAAUGUUAAUGGUGAUCUGCAGAUGAUCAAUUGUUUAGUCUCCAGAAAUGUUCACACUUGAAGGUUAGGAUUCGUGUUUUGGAAAUAGGUAAAUUGCACCACGGAUCACUGACACUUCCAAGAGGUUUUAGUUUCUCAACGAUCUUCAAAUUGUUACAGCUCAGUCUGUAAACUUUAAUUUCUGCAGCAAUCUUUACCCUUUUCAUUGACUUAAAAGUAAAUUGAUGUUGCCAAACAAGAACUAACAAAAAUUGCUCAUCUACCAGUACGAUGAUGAUUAUGUGGAUAUUUCAAUCCUAUUUGAUGGAAAAACCAAACGAAAGGGUUAGAUUAUAACGGAGAGCAACAGAUACGGACCCAAUUGUAAUAACUGAAAGGUUCAGGAUCAGACUGAGCUAAGCAAAAAGUUGAGGACCCCUGAUGUAAUUUAUCCUUUAAAAACAUACCAAGUCAAGUAUAUUCUCUCGUAUAAGGAAAGAGGAAAUCAAAACG
Molecule: long non-coding RNA, 3136 nt
Filed under: Ananas comosus (pineapple)
Lineage: Eukaryota; Viridiplantae; Streptophyta; Magnoliopsida; Poales; Bromeliaceae
Description: long non-coding RNA (ACOM_LNC022540)
Source: RNAcentral